GACGAACGCUGGCGGCGUGCUUAACACAUGCAAGUCGAACGGAAAGGCCCUGCUUGCAGGGUACUCGAGUGGCGAACGGGUGAGUAACACGUGGGUGAUCUGCCCUGCACUUCGGGAUAAGCCUGGGAAACUGGGUCUAAUACCGGAUAGGAGCCAUUUUUAGUGUGAUGGUUGGAAAGUUUUUUCGGUGUAGGAUGAGCUCGCGGCCUAUCAGCUUGUUGGUGGGGUAAUGGCCUACCAAGGCGGCGACGGGUAGCCGGCCUGAGAGGGUGGACGGCCACCUUGGGACUGAGAUACGGCCCAGACUCCUACGGGAGGCAGCAGUGGGGAAUAUUGCACAAGGGGCGCAAGCCUGAUGCAGCGACGCCGCGUGGGGGAUGACGGCCUUCGGGUUGUAAACUCCUUUCGCUAGGGACGAAGCUUUUUGUGACGGUACCUAGAUAAGAAGCACCGGCUAACUACGUG
This 465-nucleotide ribosomal RNA is filed under the name uncultured bacterium. RNAcentral's name for it is "partial 16S ribosomal RNA". It matches the Rfam family "Bacterial small subunit ribosomal RNA", at positions 28 to 507 of the family's 1533-position model. The record is from RNAcentral.